Molecule: ribosomal RNA, 515 nt
Filed under: uncultured bacterium
Lineage: Bacteria
Description: partial 16S ribosomal RNA
Rfam family: Bacterial small subunit ribosomal RNA
Source: RNAcentral
GAUGAACGCUGGCGGCGUGCCUAAUACAUGCAAGUCGAGCGAAUGGAUUAAGAGCUUGCUCUUAUGAAGUUAGCGGCGGACGGGUGAGUAACACGUGGGUAACCUGCCCAUAAGACUGGGAUAACUCCGGGAAACCGGGGCUAAUACCGGAUAACAUUUUGAACCGCAUGGUUCGAAAUUGAAAGGCGGCUUCGGCUGUCACUUAUGGAUGGACCCGCGUCGCAUUAGCUAGUUGGUGAGGUAACGUCUCACCAAGGCAACGAUGCGUAGCCGACCUGAGAGGGUGAUCGGCCACACUGGGACUGAGACACGGCCCAGACUCCUACGGGAGGCAGCAGUAGGGAAUCUUCCGCAAUGGACGAAAGUCUGACGGAGCAACGCCGCGUGAGUGAUGAAGGCUUUCGGGUCGUAAAACUCUGUUGUUAGGGAAGAACAAGUGCUAGUUGAAUAAGCUGGCAUCUUGACGGUACCUAACCAGAAAGCCACGGCUAACUACGUGCCAGCCGCCGCCGUAA